CUUUGAGUGUGUACACAAGAUCUCGUGUAUUUCUCAUUACAAAAUAUACGCAGAGAACUCACACUGUUCACUAUCAUUUCAUUUCCAUAAGGGAGGAUGAGUAGCAUUUUGGUACAUAUUUGUUACUUCUUUAGCAGCCAUCUUUCCUGUGAUUUAUUGUGUUUUAACAAUCAAGAGCACUUCAAGAGCUUUGUUAUUACAAAACACAUUAGGUCUUUUUCAUAAUUCAUGUUCUUUCUAUGCUGUCUUACCAUGAGCAAUUCAGAAACUUCUCCAUAAGUUACUUAUUGCCUUCCUCACUGCUUCAAACCAGAUAAUUUCUACACUUUCUUGAGAAAGAUUACAACCUCUUCUUUUUCUCUUGUUCUAUUUUUUUUCCCUUUGAUAUAAGAGUUCUCUUGACACUUUGAUGAAAAAGUACCACCCUAGCUGUCCCAGUCCUGGUUCGUUGAGGGGUGUAGCUUGCGUAAAUAAAAUGGCAGUAGGCCAGCUUAACCUCAGAGAAGAAAGAUUGUUAGCAGUGUCCUUGAAGCUGGAGCUGGAGAGCGGUGAUUCUGCUAAACAGGUUGUGCUCACACUCGGAUGGAAGAAACCUUGUGAACAAGCUCACAUGAAGGGAGGAAAAUGACAGCAACAUGCACUCUUAGAAUCAUAGAAUCACCAAGGUUGAAAAAGACCUCCAAGAUCAUCCAGUCCAACUGCCCACCUAUUACCAAUAUUUCCCACUAACAGCAUCCCUCGGUACAACAUCUAAAUGUUUCUUGAACACCUCCGAGGACUGCAACUUCACCACCUCCCUGGACAGCCUGUUCCAGCGCCUGACCGCUCUCUCGAUGAAGAAGUUUUUCCUAAUAUCGCCUUCCUAACUUCCAACUUCACGUCUUAUUUUGCAACACGACGCCCUGCUCACGGGGAGGGCGGCGUCGGUGCCAGCCCAGGGAAGGCGACAUCAUUCCUUCAGGGGGGCCC
This 969-nucleotide long non-coding RNA is filed under the name Meleagris gallopavo (turkey). Its description in RNAcentral is "lncRNA (ENSMGAG00000020687.1)". The record is from RNAcentral. Lineage: Eukaryota; Metazoa; Chordata; Aves; Galliformes; Phasianidae.